RNAcentral lists this small RNA (17 nucleotides) under Arabidopsis thaliana (thale cress). RNAcentral's name for it is "ATSL233310". The record is from RNAcentral. Lineage: Eukaryota; Viridiplantae; Streptophyta; Magnoliopsida; Brassicales; Brassicaceae.
CUUUUACCCUUUUGUUU